UGCCAGUCUUUGGUCUAGUGAAAUGUACAAAUUUACAAAUUUAUAUCAACUUUUGAAUGUGGUAUUUUGAGAUAAUCAGAAUCCGAAGUAAGGGAAAUCAUGCAUAUCCAAAUUCGUAUGCAUGUGGAGUCAAUUACUCACACUAACUGGUUCAAGUCGACGUGACCAUCAUCAGGAGCACCUAGGAGAGAUCAUCGUUCGUGUGAUAAGCAAUUACCUUCUGUUCUUUCCUCCUAGUGGUUCGAGUGUGCUCUCCACUGAUUUUAGAUCUCAGAAGUGUGUUUGCUUGGUUAGGAUGGCAAGAAGGAUAUGUGGGGUAGUUGGUGGAAUAACUUGUCGAGGAUACGCCGUGUGUAAUUCACCACUGUCCUGAGAAUCAUCCGCAGGAUAUCUUAUCACCAGAUAUAAUCUUCCACUGAGUGCAUACACCUGAAAUCGACUGUAUGGGUAUGGCCUGCGUGGCAACAAUUUGACGUCUAGGCGUGCACAGGUGACAGCAUGGCAGAUGAGCUGAGGAUGAAUCACGAGAAUGUACGUAACGCGGGUGACCUUGAGGCGUGGACGAGAUGACGCUCAAUAGAUGGCGCUUAGGGAGAAGAUGCUCCGCCGCUCAAUAGAUGGCGCUCAAAGAUCCUCAAGUCCCUGCCUCGCCUCCACGGCCUCAGGUGACUGGGCAGACUAACCUGUAAGUUCUGAGAGCACUUGCCGCCUCCUCCAAAUGUUCCUUUUUUCGCUUCUUUUUGUUUUUCCUUUUCUUUCUUUCUUUCUUUCU
Molecule: long non-coding RNA, 772 nt
Organism: Scylla paramamosain (green mud crab)
Lineage: Eukaryota; Metazoa; Arthropoda; Malacostraca; Decapoda; Portunidae
Exons: 3
Source: RefSeq, a predicted model, not a curated record